RNA transcript from Prosopis cineraria, 1056 nucleotides. RefSeq lists it as uncharacterized. The record is from RefSeq and is a predicted model, not a curated record. NCBI's taxonomy places the organism in Eukaryota, Viridiplantae, Streptophyta, Magnoliopsida, Fabales, Fabaceae. The transcript is spliced from 9 exons.
GGCACACGUGACCCUACUCUAUAAUUUUUGCCGUAAAUAGUCAGGUUUUUCCAUUCCCAACCUUCACCUGGCGCGAGAAUGCUUAUGGGAGUUAAAUACAUUUGAAUUUGUAUUACAAAUGUCGAGGCUUCUCGCAAGAAUUGCUGGGUUUUUCAGCAAUCGAGCGCAAGUUGGAGUCGACAAAGCGGGGAACAGAUACUUCACCAGAAAAGAAGAGAUCGAUGGUGUCAUUAAAGAGAAAAGAUGGGUGGUGUUUAAGGGAGAGGUGGAUUCUACUACUCUUCCAGUUGAAUGGAUAUGUUGGUUGAAUGGGCAGCGUAAACAGGCUCCAACCACAGAGGAAAUGAUGGAGUUGGAAGCUAGGCGUGAACGUCUUAGACAGAAUGUUGCUCUACUUAAAAAGGAAGAGGAGGAAAGGAAAGCCAAAGAAGGAAGUCCAGGGAAAGGCUUAACCACCGGAAAAGUUGGUGGUCCAGACUUAAAAAGUUUUAUUCGCCAAUUUCCUUCUGAAGGUGAUGGGGUUGAAGAAUCAUCUGCCACGAUUAGUGACUUGAGGUGAGACUUUGGAGGAUGCAUGUAUAUUCAUGCCAUUUGGUGUCUGUAUAACUAAGAAUUUUAUAAUGCGCAAAUUACAGAAUUUAGGGAACCGUGUUUAAUCCACAAAACUCCUGAAUUAGGUCAUCAGAACCAAGAGGAUCUGGUGCAACAUUUAAACCAGGAACCUGGCAGCCUCCAACUUGAAUUUUUUCUUUUAAAUAAACCUGGCAACACCAGCAUUCGUUUCUGCUCAGUUUUAAAGUGAAAAUGUAUGGUACUUUAAUCUAAAAAGUAACUUAUUACUUGGUUAAGAAAUCUUGCGUGGGGGAUUCUAGUGAGCGCACUAUAGCAUUGUUUUUUUUUUUUUUUUUUUGUUUUGCCAUUUUAUUUACAUUCAAAAUAUGUGCAGCACCAUUAUACUGCUUACAGAAACUUAUAUUUUAGCAUGGUGGGGUAAAAAUGUACGCCAUUGUCUUGCCAAUUCUAUGAAAUGAGUCUGGUGAAAAUUAUAUUAUUUUA